Molecule: RNA transcript, 5089 nt
Organism: Oncorhynchus gorbuscha (pink salmon)
Lineage: Eukaryota; Metazoa; Chordata; Actinopteri; Salmoniformes; Salmonidae
Gene name: PEX5-related protein-like
Exons: 16
Source: RefSeq, a predicted model, not a curated record
AGGAGAGAGGAGUGCACUAUAAGAAGCGUCAAAACAAUUAUUAAGCCACGGUCGAGAGGCAGAGAGCGGUAGUGUGCACAAUGAAGACAUAACACGGGAGAUUUUACUUGACUAACUGAAUUGUUGUCCAUCCAAAGCCGAGGACCCAGAAGCUUUUGGCAGCGCCGUGAAGAUUUCUGGGCGCCUCGCAUUGAAGUGGAUUCUGGUAGUGCACUUAUCUCUCCCGUGCUGUCGCCUGGCUACCUUUCAAAUACCGGCAAAAAAUACAUGACAAAAACACUUACGUUUCAGCACCUUAAGCGAGGACAGCUCCUUUCCUUGGCGUAACAUUCAGACUCAAUUGGAGCCUGCACUUCUGAGCGAAUUGAAACAUUCUGCCUCUUGUUCCAGAACUCUUCGUACGUAUGGACACUCCCAGUGUCGCUUACUGUAUCUGUAUUGCGAGCCUUAAAGUAGCUUAAAAAUCAAUCGUCGCAGAAUCAGGAAUUGACUUCAAGCUCAAUAUGUACCAGGGUCAUUUGCAGGGGAGAGAUUCUAGGGCUGCAGAUAAGACUGUUGCCAUGGUCCUGAAGGAGAUACCCAGUAAGGCGUCUUCAGAAGUGAAACCCCUCCUCACGGUGACAACCAAGCUGGUGAGUGAGCAACAAGAGAGCCGCCCCCUGCUAAGCCCCUCCAUCGACGACUUUCUCUGUGAGACCAAGUGCCAUGGCGCUGCACGCCUAGUGACUUCGAACACAGCAGUUCUGUCCUCCACAUUGGACCUAUUGGACCUCAGCGAGCCCGGAGAGAGAAGGAACAGCAAGCAGGACAAGAAGAGCCCUCUGUUGUCACGUGGGGACGGGCCUAAGAACAUGCCUCACCGGAAGAAGACAACGGACGAGACCGAGCUGAUCCAGGUGGAUGUAGAGCAGACUGUCCCCUGUCCCCACACUCCUGAAAGAGUGUCACUUGACUCAGUCAACAUUGCCUCUCCUUUGGAGAAAUGGGAGGAGCUCAAUGUCCACACUGAACGAAACAGCAGCAGAAAGUGGAAAUUGGAGAGACGGGGUUCAUCGAAAAACUCCUCCAGUGAACUUCUGUGGUCCAUAGACUGCAAAACGCAAUCAGAGCCACCCUCCAAGAGCUCUUUGGAAGUAAAUACCAUAGCAGAGGCCGAGCCAGCUCUAGCAUUUCAACUCAACAGACAGUAUAUUAGUGGAAGACAUGGCCGUUUGAGUAAAGAGCGGUUCGGUGGCGGUGCCCUCCUGUCCAGAAACCAGUCCCUGGAGGAAGAGUUUGAGCGAGCCAAGGCAGCUGUGGAGUCAGACACAGAGUUCUGGGACAAGAUGCAAGCAGAGUGGGAGGAGCUAGCACGACGGAACUGGCUAACGGAGAACGAGCAGGCGCAGAUCCCCUCCAGUGUGUCGCCUCACGAGAAGGGUUACUACUUCCACAUGGACAACCCCUACAAGGACUGGCCCAACGCGUUUGAGGAGGGUCUUCGAAAGUCCAAAGAGGGAGACCUGCCCAACGCUGUGCUGCUACUGGAGGGGGCCAUCUUGCAGGACCCCCAAGACUCAGAGGCUUGGCAAGUGUUGGGGACCACCCAGGCCGAGAACGAAAACGAGCAGGCAGCUAUCGUCUCCCUCCAGAGGUGUCUCGAGCUCCACCCCAAUAACCUCCAAGCCCUCAUGGCCCUGGCGGUGAGCCUGACCAACACGGGCAUGAGGCAGGAUGCAUGCGAGGCAUUGCUGCGCUGGCUCCGUCACAACUCCAAGUACAAGCACCUGCUGAAGGGCAAGAGCCACCUGGCGGGCUCCCCGGGCUCCCAACGUAGGAUGUCUCGUGUCUCAACUGUGGGCAGAUAUGAGAGCUCUCUACUGCCUGAGGUGAAGGAUCUGUAUCUGGAGGCAGCCCAGCACAACAGGGACACCGACCCGGACCUGCAGACAGGCCUGGGUGUGUUGUUCAACAUUAGCGCGGAGUUCAACAAAGCUGUGGAGGCCUUCAAUGCUGCCUUGACGGUGCGGCCAGAGGACUACCUGCUGUGGAACCGCCUGGGGGCCACGCUGGCUAACGGGGACCGCAGCGAGGAGGCGGUAGAGGCCUACACCCGAGCCCUGGAGCUCCAGCCGGGCUUCAUUAGAUCCCGUUACAACCUGGGCAUCAGCUGCAUCAACCUAGGAGCACACCGGGAGGCGGCCAGUAACUUCCUAACAGCCCUGAGUCUGCAGAGGAAGAGCCGUAGUCAGCAGCUCUCACAACAGGUCAUGUCGGGGAACAUCUGGGCCGCCCUGCGGAUAGCCCUCUCCAUGAUGGACCAGCCGGAGCUCUUCCAGGCAGCCAACAUCGGAGACUUGGACCUCCUCAUGAAAGCCUUCAACCUGGACAUGUGAGUGGAGAUGGGCCUUGGAGACAAGUCUCUACUCUCCUACCAACAGGCCUUGGAGACGAGCCUCUUCUCUCCUACCAACAGGCCUUGGAGACAAGUCUCUACUCUCCUACCAACAGGCCUUGAAGACAAGUCUCUACUCUCCUACCAACAGGCCUUGGAGACGAGUCUCUUCUCUCCUACCAACAGGCCUUGGAGACGAGUCUCUUCUCUCCUACCAACAGGCCUGGGAGAAGAGUCUCUACACUCCUACCAACAGGCCUGGGAGAAGAGUCUCUACACUCUUAUCAACAGGCCUGAGAGAAGAGUCUCUACACUCCUAUCAACAGGCCUGGGAGAAGUCUCUACACUCCUACCAAAUGCCAAAAACCCAAAGUGUACAGUUGGAAAGAGCUGUUUUGUCCAGUUAAUGACGAGUGUGUGGUCUAUUUUGGCGAGCACUACAACAUCUUUACUACUCCUCAGUACCUCUGCAGUCUUCUUGAGUACUGCAUGUGCUCGAAGAGUCUAUUUUGCGAUGGAUUUGCACUGCAAUUUGUGAUUUCCCCGAAGAGCACAAGGACGGGCAAAGACUGUACAAGUAAUGCCUUAGAGAACACAGUAAUUAAAACUAACUCAUUGGAACUGAGCAAGAGAGAGAAAGAGAAAUACUGAGAAUGCUUUUGCUGAACAGUGUUGAGGAUUGAAAAGAACGGUUUCCUCAUCCAGAUACUUUUAGAGUGUCCGGAUUAUCACACUGACCUAAAGGAAGGAUUUAGUGAGUAAAAUCAAUAAAGACUACACCAUAAGCCGUGGGACUCGGAGACAGUUUUCAGCAGAGAAUCAAUAUUCUUUUUUGGGGGGGUUGGUUUUAUCCUCUUUUCUGUGAGGAACAACACUGCAUGGAAACUAAAGCAUGUUCCUAAAUGGAUUCGGUGGCACUUGCCUGAACCUAAAAGCUUAGAACCUUUUUUCCUUACUUGGGACUCUGCACUUUGAAAAACAAACAGAUCAUUUCCUCUUAUCUUAAUGAAACGAGACAGAUUGUAAAAGCAUUACCUUAAACGCAUGCUAAAAUGAAAUUGAUUUACACAAUUUUUAUGGCAACCAAUGUAAGCCAUUUUCAGAUUCAUUUUUGACUUCCUCGAAUACCUGACAUCCUCCGAAUUCUUCACGUUUUGUGGUGUUUCCAGCUCCUCAUUUCACUUUACCCUAACUGGUUUGAGAGAAGCACUCAUUAGCUGGACAAGAUGGACCCGUAUUUUUCCCUCAGAGCUGGGAAAUGGUUGGAACAGUCCAGUAGCAAACACAAGAGGAGGAAAACAGAGAAGUCUUUUGUGUAUGGAAUCACUGUUGAAAACAUCAAGGAGCCAGAGCCAACUGCAGAGACACAGCACAUAUGUGCACGCUGCUGGCAAUCUGCAUAGGAGGCUAGCUUUGAAGACCAGAAAACACAUUGGCGGACUGUACAACGUCAAAGGCAACUGGGCCAACACGUUAUGGCAUCCAUCCAUUUAUUAAUGCAUUUCUGUUGCCCAACUACCCCAACAAGAUGAUAUUCCUUCACUCCCACCCAGCGAGCAAAGGAGGUUGAGAUCUAGUUGUAACCAAUCAUGAUCGUCACUGCGGUCAUGAUUGACUACGUCUUAGUGAGUCAUCGAACGAUGGCUGACAACUCUACACUGUAGAUUUAUAUGGCAAAUAGUAUUGAGAACAGAAUUGUUUUUAUUCCAAAGUGCAUAAUUUACAGAAAAUGUUUUCUGGCUCCAUGCCUCCUAGUUGCCCUUACUGUCAGCAGCAUAUACACUGUAGUACAAUGCUGAACCAGGAUUUACUGUAUCAAGAGAUUUCUUCAAAAUCACUCUGAUUUCUUAUGGUCUAGUAAUCCUGUGCUUUUUGAACAAAAAUAAAUGUAGUUAUGUAGAAGAUUAAAUUAUUUUUUUAACAGUUUUUGAAUUAUUGGAUGACCAACUAUAUAUAUAUAUAUAUAUAUAUUACUGUAGAAUUUAUAUUGAUGUGUGUUGAGUUAGGAUGCCCAAAGUACCUUUUCUAGAACAGUUGACCUUCUCAGGUGUGAUGACCUAGCUACACCUAACAUACUCCAGGUUGAAUGCAUGCUAGAUCUUCUAUGCUUUACUUUGAAUGAUCUUAUAUUUUCAUGCAUGCAGUGCUUUUCUUUCCCCUAAUUCUAAAAACAAAAUAUAGCAUGUUACAUAGCAAUAUUUUUCCAAUCCACUUUUAAAACGUCUUCAUUUUAUGAAAUGUAACAUACCUAUCAUAUAUUGUGCACAACAUACAAUAACAAAACAUCUGCAGUGAAUCUGGAGAGAAACCAAAAGUAGUGCUCUCUAACUGAUUACCGAGUGCAGGUCUCGGCCCACACGCCAAUCGUUUGGCUAAAGGGUUUCUGAUCCUCUCAGGCGUGUAUACAACUGAAUGACUACAACGCUUCCUGCUCAGUGUAAUAGCAUUAAUUCCUACAGUUUUCAAUAAUUUUUCUGUGUUUCGUGUACGAUUCAUUUCAUUGUACCCUGCUGGUUUACUCUGGUUUGCUUCUAUAGCUGAUAUACAAGUAUGAAUAGAUCUAUUAAUAUUUUUGAUGCCUUAAAAAAAUGAAAUACUUUACAGUGUACCAACAAUGCAUAAUAAAUACUCUCCCGAUGUACCUAAAACACUAGUCAAGCAUCAACACCUUUCAUAUGAUAUGAAAGUUGUCUUUUAAAAUAAACUUGUAAUAUA